GAUGAACGCUGGCGGCGUGCCUAAUACAUGCAAGUCGAGCGCGAAGAUCAGGAGCUUGCUCCUGAGAUUUGAGCGGCGGACGGGUGAGUAACACGUAGGCAACCUACCCUUGAGAUUGGGAUAACUACCGGAAACGGUAGCUAAUACCGGAUACGACUUUUCCACACAAGUGGAACUGUUAAAAGGCGGAUUUAUCUGCCGCUCAUGGAUGGGCCUGCGGUGCAUUAGCUAGUUGGUGAGAUAGUAGCUCACCAAGGCGACGAUGCAUAGCCGACCUGAGAGGGUGAUCGGCCACACUGGGACUGAGACACGGCCCAGACUCCUACGGGAGGCAGCAGUAGGGAAUCUUCCGCAAUGGACGAAAGUCUGACGGAGCAACGCCGCGUGAGUGAUGAAGGGUUUCGGCUCGUAAAACUCUGUUGUUAAGGAAGAACACUUGAGGUAGUAACUGGCCUUGAGAUGACGGUACUUAACCAGAAAGCCACGGCUAACUACGUGCCAGCCGCCGCUGUAA
Molecule: ribosomal RNA, 514 nt
Filed under: uncultured bacterium
Lineage: Bacteria
Description: partial 16S ribosomal RNA
Rfam family: Bacterial small subunit ribosomal RNA
Source: RNAcentral